Molecule: long non-coding RNA, 1946 nt
Organism: Harpia harpyja (harpy eagle)
Lineage: Eukaryota; Metazoa; Chordata; Aves; Accipitriformes; Accipitridae
Exons: 3
Source: RefSeq, a predicted model, not a curated record
GUCCAAAGAAACCUAUAAAAAUCCAUCAAGGAAAAUAUUUUUAUAUACCAACUGCUAAAAAGUGAGAGAAGAUAUUGCUAGCAAUGCAUCUUGCACAUGGUGGGAAGCAGUGAUAGCAGGACCAUCUCUAGCCCUUGUGAGUGCCGGGAGUUGAAAUCAUGACCCACAAAACCUCAAAACCCUAAAAACAAAUGAAGGAGAAGAGGCGACUGCUUUUCUGUUCUUGUGCAAGGCAAUGUCACAGACUGGGGAGGACCCUUCCUCCUGAUUUUACUGAGGAACUAUAAAUUGCUAUUGCAAAUGCACUCUAUUGCUUUCUUAAGGUAAGAAAUAAAGUUUGCAUUUUGUUGCGUUUGUACUUUACACAAUGUUUUGUAACUUAGCUCUGUGAUAUAAUGUGCCUAUAACGUUUUUUAUCUAAAGAUCUUAAACAAUUUUACUUUAUGAGAGGUUUGCAAUUUUUAACAUUUUUUUACCCAAGAUUAAUUAAAACAAUUUCACCUGAUUGAUUCUAUUGUAGUCUAUAUCUGUAAAUUAAUACCUUUCCUAUGCUUAAAUUGGUCAAAUUUGUUCAUUUCUCUUUUAAUGUAUCUUUAGGAACCUUCUUUUUUCAGAUUCCAAUUGAGAAAACUCUUUACUCUUUCAACCUCUUUUUUUCUUCCCUUAACAACUAACUCAUUUUUUUGGUUUGCUGAACAUACCUAAUCUCAUAAAAUUUCUGUUACAGUAGGUGAAACGUUGGUUCACAGAAAUUUGCUUGAAAAAUUUGCUAUUUUAAAUCUUUUGAUUAGCCUGUUUUACAAAUGUUCUGAUUUGUGUAUGAUUACAAUAGACUGAUUUUCAAAAAUCUCUUUUGUGUGUUGUUUUCUUAUGUGUUAAAGGUUAGGAAACUUUUCUGCUGGUGCUGAACUGGCCUGCUUGGUCAUAUCUCAAGAUUUUUUUCAGGUAUUCCAUUCAUAGCUCUCAUGUUGGAAAACGAGACGAGAAAACCCUUAAAGGCUCAGAAAUAAACUAAAUAAAUAUUUGUUUUCAAUAGCACAAAUUUUUAACAUGGUGUUUGAGAAAUCUGCAACUCAUCACAAUUGGUCAGCAUGCAAAUGGAGAUCAAGCUUUGGGGUAAGAAUACCACUCUGACUGUAGGGUUCUCUUUGCGUUCUUUCAUUUGCUGUUCCAUGAUUCUGUAUAAUGCCAGAUCUUGCAGAUCAUACUAUGUGCCUAUUCCCCAGCCGUUUGACUUGGCAGAAGAGUUCCCUCUGAUUUGUGUUUGUGUUUCAAGAGCCAGCAGCUUAGAGCAAAGAUCUGAUUUGACUGUCUUAACCUUGCUCUUUAGCAUCAGCUUUUCUUUAGCUCAACAUUUCUAUUCUCUGUCAUAGGUGCCUUAUGUACUGCUGGGUCUCCUUUAGGGAAAAGUGGAGAAUACACUUCGAGUUUUGACUGCUUUACUUUGCAAGCUAAUUUUCAAGAUUUCUGGCUAACUUCCUAACAAAAAAUUACUGGGGAAACUUGGAAGGCAGAGAGUACUUUUGGGAUCCUGAUGAUCCUAGGCCAUGACUUUCAUAUUGGGUAUCAGUGAUGUAGAAGGAAUAAGAGCUGGUUCCCCUGUAAGAAAUCUCAGCAGAAGGGGCCAGCAGGUGCCAGAAGAUGGUGCCAAAGCCUCUCACCUUGCUGAGUAGCAGGCUAAGUGCCAGCAGCCUGCACCCAGGGGCCUGUGCCCUGCUCACUUCAAGCUUUCAGCCUCAAAAAUCUCAUAGCUGUAGCUUGUUCCUGCAUCUGUCCUCUACAGGGAGGCUAAAAAGGAAAGCAAUGUGAUAUGCUGAAUGGAUAUUCCUAUUUCUACUGACUGCAAUUUCUCUGUGUUCUUUGAGUUCUAGAAAAAACUCUGUGUGUGUUGGGCUUCCUCAGAAAGAAAAUGCCUGGAAGCAACAAGGUAUUCCCCCUUGUCCCAG